CCUACGGGUGGCAGCAGUGGGGGAUAUUGCACAAUGGGGGGAACCCUGAUGCAGCAACGCCGCGUGGGGGAAGAAGCGCCUCGGCUUGUAAAGCCCUGUCAUCAGGGAAGAAAAUGACGGUACCUGACGAAGAAGCCCCGGCUAACUACGUGCCAGCAGCCGCGGUAAUACGUAGGGGGCAAGCGUUAUCCGGAUUUACUGGGUGUAAAGGGGGCGCAGGCGGGGUUGUAAGCCAGAUGUGAAAGCCCGGGGCCUAACCACGGGACUGCUCUUGAAACUGUGUGGCUGGAGUGCGGGAGGGGCAGGCGGAAUUCCUGGUGUAGCGGUGAAAUGCGUAGAUAUCAGGAGGAACA
RNAcentral lists this ribosomal RNA (353 nucleotides) under uncultured bacterium. RNAcentral describes it as "partial 16S ribosomal RNA". It matches the Rfam family "Bacterial small subunit ribosomal RNA", at positions 338 to 708 of the family's 1533-position model. The record is from RNAcentral.